GAAGCGCGAAAUGUAGUGUGAAUCGCAGAACAUUGUGAAUCAUCGAGUCUUUGAACGCACAUUGCGCCUCCUCGACGAGGCAUGCCUGUCUGAGCGUCAUUUAAACCGAAUGGGGGUCCAUCUUUGGGUCCCCCGUGUUGGACGGUCGCCCCCCGGGGCGUCGUCUCAAAGGCAUCGGGCCUCGUGGGCGGAUGAGUUCCUCUAGGGCUGACCGCCUCACCGGCCGUGGCUUUCCUCACCAUUUGACCUCAGAUCAGGUAGGAUUACCGCCUGAACUUAA
RNAcentral lists this unclassified non-coding RNA (280 nucleotides) under uncultured Archaeorhizomycetes. RNAcentral's name for it is "sequence contains ITS1". The stretch from base 1 to 99 matches the Rfam family "5.8S ribosomal RNA", at positions 50 to 154 of the family's 154-position model. Lineage: Eukaryota; Fungi; Ascomycota; Archaeorhizomycetes. The record is from RNAcentral.